This 705-nucleotide long non-coding RNA is filed under the name Olea europaea subsp. europaea. The record is from RNAcentral. Lineage: Eukaryota; Viridiplantae; Streptophyta; Magnoliopsida; Lamiales; Oleaceae.
CUGCUUUUGGCUUCAUGCACUUGGAUCUUACUACAAUACGAAUUAUUCUUGUUCUUCCUUGUGACCUACACCACCCGACCCCCACCUCUCUGUGCAAGUAUAUAAUAUAUAUGCAUAUACAUACAAAUCUGUAUAUAUGAUGCACAUGCACACGUGGGGACAUAUGAAGCCUAAAUAGGUCCUACAACAUAUGGAACCCUAAAUUAAUUCCGACGAUAUCUUGUGGAAAUGGAAUGAAGAUUUGAUAUGUCCAAGUCCGACCAGAUACGACAUCGUCCAUUACAUGCUUUGAUUCCUCCUCUCUCUUCCCAACGCAAGUUAACAGCUAUAUUAUUCAUUGCAAAGUUUUUAUGCCAUGAUAAAUACAUGUGGUCUUUCGAAUGUGGUUAGGGUAGUUGUGACUUGUUUCAGUGCAAUUAUUGCUUUCGGCGAGAGUACUCGAGGGCCUGCUCAGGGUUGGACCAAUGAAUUGUGCUUAAAGUUGUGAAUUCUACGAAAUGUGUGGGUAAUGCAUUAGUAAUUUGUGGGUCCUAAAACAAAUAAAUAUGUGAAUAAAAAAACAUAUUUUGUCCCUCAUGGGGUGGCCGAGUUGGUGAAAUAGGUGAGCGCAGAGACCUUUAGACAUGAGUUCGAUUCCCCCUUCCAACACUUUCUCAAUCGAGCUUGUCGCACAGGGCUUACCUAAUGUGAUUUACUUGGUUGGAG